UACGUAGGUGGCGAGCGUUGUCCGGAUUUACUGGGCGUAAAGAGCGCGCAGGCGGUCGUGCAAGUCGCGUGUGAAAGCCCCCGGCUCAACUGGGGAGGGUCACGCGAUACUGCUCGACUCGAAGGCAGGAGAGGGAAGUGGAAUUCCUGGUGUAGCGGUGAAAUGCGUAGAGAUCAGGAAGAACACCGGUGGCGAAGGCGCUCUGCUAGGCCGUAACUGACACUGAGGGACGAAAGCUAGGGGAGCGAAUGGG
Molecule: ribosomal RNA, 253 nt
Filed under: uncultured bacterium
Lineage: Bacteria
Description: partial 16S ribosomal RNA
Rfam family: Bacterial small subunit ribosomal RNA
Source: RNAcentral